UAUCAAUAAGCGGAGGAAAAGAAACCAACAGGGAUUGCCCUAGUAACGGCGAGUGAAGCGGCAACAGCUCAAAUUUGAAAUCUGGCAUCCGCCCGAGUUGUAAUUUGUAGAGGAUGCUUCUGGGCAGCGGCCGGUCUAAGUUCCUUGGAACAGGACGUCAUAGAGGGUGAGAAUCCCGUAUGCGACCGGUUGGCACCCGUCACGUAGCUCCUUCGACGAGUCGAGUUGUUUGGGAAUGCAGCUCUAAAUGGGAGGUAAAUUUCUUCUAAAGCUAAAUACCGGCCAGAGACCGAUAGCGCACAAGUAGAGUGAUCGAAAGAUGAAAAGCACUUUGGAAAGAGAGUUAAACAGCACGUGAAAUUGUUGAAAGGGAAGCGCAUGCCACCAGACUUGUCGGCGGUGUUCCGCCGGUCUUCUGACCGGUCCACUCGCCGCCGCCAGGCCAGCAUCGCUUGGGACCGCCGGACAAAGGCGUGGGGAAUGUGGCUCCCUCGGGAGUGUUAUAGCCCCGCGCACAAUACGGCGCGCCCCGAGCGAGGUCCGCGCUUCGGCUAGGAUGCUGGCGUAAUGGUGGUAUGCGGCCCGUCUUGAAACACGGACCAAGGAGUCUAACAUCUAUGCGAGUGUUCGGGUGUCAAACCCCUACGCGGAAUGAAAGUGAACGGAGGUGGGAACUUUUUUGUGCACCAUCGACCGAUCCUGAUGUCUUCGGAUGGAUUUGAGUAAGAGCAUAGCUGUUGGGACCCGAAAGAUGGUGAACUAUGCCUGAAUAGGGUGAAGCCAGAGGAAACUCUGGUGGAGGCUCGCAGCGGUUCUGACGUGCAAAUCGAUCGUCAAAUUUGGGUAUAGGGGCGAAAGACUAAUCGAACCAUCUAGUAGCUGGUUCCUG
Molecule: ribosomal RNA, 889 nt
Filed under: Parapenidiella pseudotasmaniensis
Lineage: Eukaryota; Fungi; Ascomycota; Dothideomycetes; Mycosphaerellales; Teratosphaeriaceae
Description: eukaryotic LSU rRNA
Rfam family: Eukaryotic large subunit ribosomal RNA
Source: RNAcentral